UGAAUACGAGACGCUAAGGCGUCGAAGUAGUGUAUGUCAUACUUCCAAGAAAAGCUUGCACUGUCAUAGAUAAAAAACGCCUGUACCAUAACCGACACAGGUGGGUAGGUAGAGUAUACUAAGGGGCGCGAGAUAACUCUCCCUAAGGAACUCGGCAAAAUAACUCCGUAACUUCGGGAGAAGGAGUGCCUUAUUCGUAAGGUUGCAAUAACAAGAUCCAAGCAACUGUUUAUCAAAAACACAGGUCUCCGCUAAGUCGUAAGACGAUGUAUGGGGGCUGACGCCUGCCCAGUGCCAGAAGGUUAAAGAAGUUGGUUAGCAAUUGCGAAGCUGAUAACUGAAGCCCUGGUGAACGGCGGCCGUAACAAUAACGGUCCUAAGGUAGCGAAAUUCCUUGUCGGGUAAGUUCCGACCCGCACGAAAGGCGUAAUGAUUUGGAUACUGUCUCGGAGAGGGGCUCGGUGAAAUAGACUUGUCUGUGAAGAUGCGGACUACCUGCACCAGGACAGAAAGACCCUAUGAAGCUUUACUGUAACUUGAAAUUGAAAUUGGACUUUAUUCGCGCAGUAUAGGUGGGAGGCGUUGAUUAUAAUCUUGUGGGAUUAUUGGAGCCAUCAGUGAGAUACCACUCUUGUAAUGUUAGAUUUCUAACUUUGAAUCAUUAUCUGGUCAAAGAACAGUUUCAGGCGGGCAGUUUGACUGGGGCGGUCGCCUCCUAAACGGUAACGGAGGCGUACAAAGGUUUCCUCUGAACGGUUAGAAAUCGUAUCUAGAGUGUAAAGGCAUAAGGAAGCUUGACUGUGAGACCUACAAGUCGAGCAGGGACGAAAGUCGGUCUUAGUGAUCUGACGGUACUGAGUGGAAAGGCCGUCACUCAACGGAUAAAAGUUACUCUAAGGAUAACAGGCUGAUCUCCCCCAAGAGUUCACAUCGACGGGGAGGUUUGGCACCUCGAUGUCGGCUCAUCGCAUCCUGGGGCGGUAGUACGUCCCAAGGGUUGGGCUGUUCGCCCAUGAAAGCGGUACGCGAGCUGGGUUCAGAACGUCGUGAGACAGUUCGGUCCAUAUCCGGUGUAGGCGUUAGAAUAUUGAGAGGAGCCUUCUUUAGUACGAGAGGACCGAGAAGGACAUACCUCUGGUGUACCAGUUAUCGUGCCAACGGUAAACGCUGGGUAGCUAUGUAUGGAGUGGAUAACCGCUGGAAGCAUCUAAGUGGGAAGCCCACCUCAAGAUAAG
This 1235-nucleotide ribosomal RNA is filed under the name metagenome. RNAcentral's name for it is "bacterial LSU rRNA". It matches the Rfam family "Bacterial large subunit ribosomal RNA", at positions 1564 to 2808 of the family's 2925-position model. The record is from RNAcentral.